This 492-nucleotide ribosomal RNA is filed under the name uncultured bacterium. RNAcentral describes it as "partial 16S ribosomal RNA". It matches the Rfam family "Bacterial small subunit ribosomal RNA", at positions 29 to 507 of the family's 1533-position model. The record is from RNAcentral.
AUUGAACGCUGGCGGCAUGCUUUACACAUGCAAGUCGAACGGUAACAGGCCUUCGGGUGCUGACGAGUGGCGAACGGGUGAGUAAUGCAUCGGAACGUACCCAGAGGUGGGGGAUAACGCAGCGAAAGCUGUGCUAAUACCGCAUGUGAUCUGAGGAUGAAAGCGGGGGACCGAGCAGCAAUGUUUGGCCUCGCGCCUUUGGAGCGGCCGAUGUCGGAUUAGCUAGUUGGUGGGGUAAAGGCCUACCAAGGCGACGAUCCGUAGCUGGUCUGAGAGGACGACCAGCCACACUGGGACUGAGACACGGCCCAGACUCCUACGGGAGGCAGCAGUGGCGAAUUUUGGACAAUGGGCGCAAGCCUGAUCCAGCAAUGCCGCGUGCGGGAAGAAGGCCUUCGGGUUGUAAACCGCUUUUGGCAGGAACGAAACGGUGUCCGCUAAUACCGGGCGCUAAUGACGGUACCUGCAGAAUAAGCACCGGCUAACUACGUG